CAGAGGCAGAGAAGAGCAGAGCAGCCAAGCAAAGUGAGAGACCAAGAGAGAUGGCUACGUCCAAGGCAUUCCCAGCUCUGGUCCUUCUGGCGCUCGUCUGCAGCCAGCUCAUGGUCGGCGGCCAUGCCCAGGCGUACAUCGGCGGCACCAGGGGAGGAGGAGGAUCUGCUGCCGGACUGCAGCCACCGACUUCCACCACUACCCAUGGCCACUCCUCCACCAUUGGAGGGCGUUCAGCCGUGGAAGAAGACAAGGCCUUCAUGGUCAACAGCCUGACGGCGCACAACCACCCGCUUCCUGUCCCGCCUUCCGCUCAGUAGAUCGUGAAGUGCAGCCGAGCUUGAGACCAACGAUCAAGUGGCCAGUACUAAUAAUAAGAAUAAAUCUGGGUGAAGUUGUCCAGUUUGCAGGGUGACUCUGUUUCUACCAUCAUCGUCAGGGGUAUAAAAGCAGAGUAGCAUCGAACUAGUAAUAAAAGUAGUGUUGACAAAGCCUCGAGUUUAAAGUGCUAUAUCAAGGCCCUUGAUUCAAUGGAACACAUAAGUUUAUCCCAAAUUUCGUUUACAUCUUACCAAAACAGAAUAUGAAUUUAUCUCAAUUGUGUUCGAUCU
This is a long non-coding RNA of Triticum aestivum (bread wheat), 611 nucleotides long. RefSeq lists it as uncharacterized. The record is from RefSeq and is a predicted model, not a curated record. Lineage: Eukaryota; Viridiplantae; Streptophyta; Magnoliopsida; Poales; Poaceae. The transcript has 2 exons.